This 501-nucleotide ribosomal RNA is filed under the name Pristimantis platychilus. RNAcentral's name for it is "partial large subunit ribosomal RNA". It matches the Rfam family "Bacterial large subunit ribosomal RNA", at positions 1418 to 2126 of the family's 2925-position model. The record is from RNAcentral. Lineage: Eukaryota; Metazoa; Chordata; Amphibia; Anura; Strabomantidae.
AUUGAGAAAUUCUAUAAUACUAUAGAACCUUUUAUGCUAAGACUAGUAACAAGAGCUAACCCCUCUCUAUAAUGCAAACACACGCCAGCAAGAACCCACCACUGGCAAAUAACAGACUUAAAAAAAAGUAGUAACAACCCUAGGAAACCCUACUCCUACAACUGUUAACCUUACACAAGAGCAUUUCAAGAAAGAUUUAAAAAAAAAGAAGGAACUCGGCAAACACUAGCCCCGCCUGUUUACCAAAAACAUCGCCUCUUGACCACCCAUAAGAGGUCCAGCCUGCCCAGUGACUCUUGUUCAACGGCCGCGGUAUCCUGACCGUGCGAAGGUAGCGUAAUCACUUGUUUUCUAAAUAAAGACCAGUAUGAAAGGCAUCACGAGGACUAAGCUGUCUCCUUUUUUUAAUCAGUGAACCUAAUCUCCCCGUGAAGAAGCGGGGAUUCUUAUAUAAGACGAGAAGACCCUAUGGAGCUUUAAACAUCAUGACACUUGCCACUC